GGACUACUCGGGUAUCUAAUCCUGUUUGCUCCCCACGCUUUCGCGCCUCAGCGUCAGGGACGUUCCAGAGAGCCGCCUUCGCCACCGGCCUUCCUCCCGAUCUCUACGCAUUUCACCGCUACACCGGGAAUUCCGCUCUCCUCUCCCGUCCUCUAGCUGAACAGUCCCCGAUGCCAUUCCCCGGUUAAGCCGAAGGAUUUCACACCGGACUUAUCCAGCCACCUACGCGCGCUUUACGCCCAGUAAUUCCGGACAACGCUUGCCACCUCUGUCUUACCGCGGCUGCUGGCAC
Molecule: ribosomal RNA, 292 nt
Filed under: uncultured bacterium
Lineage: Bacteria
Description: partial 16S ribosomal RNA
Source: RNAcentral